This 279-nucleotide long non-coding RNA is filed under the name Salvia miltiorrhiza (redroot sage). RNAcentral describes it as "long non-coding RNA (SMIL_LNC007040)". The record is from RNAcentral. Lineage: Eukaryota; Viridiplantae; Streptophyta; Magnoliopsida; Lamiales; Lamiaceae.
ACAAAUAAAACAAGAAGCAUUACCUGCUGCUGCUGCUGUUGUUGCUGCUGAAGCGCAAGCAGGUGACUAUUUUCCUUGUACUGAGCCAAAACAUCAUCAUAGUUUAUAGCUGAUCCAGAUGGGGCAGCAGGAGCAUUCAUCUGAUAAUUUCCGGGAACUGUGGCAGUAUUUCCAAGACCACCGUAUCCAGAAGGGACAGCAGCAGACUGAGGCAAACUACUGACUGCAACACUGCUUUUAUACUGAGGAAGUAAAGCAGCCAGGGACUGAUGGUACGUG